AGUGAACGCUGGCGGUAGGCCUAACACAUGCGAGUCGAACGGCAGCACAGUAAGAGCUUGCUCUUACGGGUGGCGAGUGGCGGACGGGUGAGGAAUACAUCGGAAUCUACUUUUUCGUGGGGGAUAACGUAGGGAAACUUACGCUAAUACCGCAUACGACCUACGGGUGAAAGCAGGGGAUCUUCGGACCUUGCGCGAUUGAAUGAGCCGAUGUCGGAUUAGCUAGUUGGCGGGGUAAAGGCCCACCAAGGCGACGAUCCGUAGCUGGUCUGAGAGGAUGAUCAGCCACACUGGAACUGAGACACGGUCCAGACUCCUACGGGAGGCAGCAGUGGGGAAUAUUGGACAAUGGGCGCAAGCCUGAUCCAGCCAUACCGCGUGGGUGAAGAAGGCCUUCGGGUUGUAAAGCCCUUUUGUUGGGAAAGAAAAGCAGCAGGUUAAUACCCCGCUGUUCUGACGGUACCCAAAGAAUAAGCACCGGCUAACUUCGU
RNAcentral lists this ribosomal RNA (491 nucleotides) under uncultured bacterium. RNAcentral describes it as "partial 16S ribosomal RNA". It matches the Rfam family "Bacterial small subunit ribosomal RNA", at positions 29 to 506 of the family's 1533-position model. The record is from RNAcentral.